Molecule: ribosomal RNA, 70 nt
Filed under: Klenkia soli
Lineage: Bacteria; Bacillati; Actinomycetota; Actinomycetes; Geodermatophilales; Geodermatophilaceae
Source: RNAcentral
GGAAGCUAAGCCUCUCAGCGCCGAUGGUACUGCCCGGGGGACCGGGUGGGAGAGUAGGACGCCGCCGGAC